UGGGGAAUAUUGCACAAUGGGGGAAACCCUGAUGCAGCAACGCCGCGUGAGUGAUGACGGCCUUCGGGUUGUAAAGCUCUGUCUUCAGGGACGAUAAUGACGGUACCUGAGGAGGAAGCCACGGCUAACUACGUGCCAGCAGCCGCGGUAAUACGGAGGUGGCGAGCGUUGUCCGGAUUUACUGGGCGUAAAGGGAGCGUAGGCGGACUUUUAAGUGAGAUGUGAAAUACCCGGGCUCAACGUGGGGGCUGCAUUUCAAACUGGAAGGCUAGAGUGCAGUAGAGGAGAAUGGAAUGCCUAGUGUAGCGGUGAAAUGCGUAGAGAUUAGGAAGAACACCAGUGGCGAAGGCGAUUCUCUGGACUGUAACUGACGCUGAGGCUCGAAAGCGUGGGGAGCAAACA
This 402-nucleotide ribosomal RNA is filed under the name uncultured prokaryote. RNAcentral's name for it is "bacterial SSU rRNA". It matches the Rfam family "Bacterial small subunit ribosomal RNA", at positions 355 to 774 of the family's 1533-position model. The record is from RNAcentral.